AGUGAACGCUGGCGGUAGGCCUAACACAUGCAAGUCGAACGGCAGCACAGUAAGAGCUUGCUCUUACGGGUGGCGAGUGGCGGACGGGUGAGGAAUACAUCGGAAUCUACUUUUUCGUGGGGGAUAACGUAGGGAAACUUACGCUAAUACCGCAUACGACCUACGGGGGAAAGCAGGGGAUCUUCGGACCUUGCGCGAUUGAAUGAGCCGAUGUCGGAUUAGCUAGUUGGCGGGGUAAAGGCCCACCAAGGCGACGAUCCGUAGCUGGUCUGAGAGGAGGACCAGCCAAACUGGGACUGAGACACGGCACAGACUCCUACGGGAGGCAGCAGUGGGGAAUUUUGGACAAUGGGCGAAAGCGUGAUCCAGCAAUGCCGCGUGUAUGAUGAAGGCCUUCGGGUUGUAAAGCACUUUUGGCGGGAACGAAAAGGACUGUGCAAAUACCACGGUUAGAUGACGGUACCCGCAGAAUAAGCACCGGCUAACUACGUG
This 492-nucleotide ribosomal RNA is filed under the name uncultured bacterium. RNAcentral's name for it is "partial 16S ribosomal RNA". It matches the Rfam family "Bacterial small subunit ribosomal RNA", at positions 29 to 507 of the family's 1533-position model. The record is from RNAcentral.